UAAUAAGUGUUUUAUGGCACUUUUUAAAUCCAUAUCCACCUUGUGUGCAAUGUCGGUCGAUCUUCUUCAUGGAGAUCGACCAAACAUCAACCUUUAUCUUUUAACUCUUUGUCUGAAAAAUAUUAUGAAUAAACAAUUCAAAAUACAACUUUCAACAACGGAUCUCUUGGCUCUCGCAUCGAUGAAGAACGCAGCGAAAUGCGAUACGUAAUGUGAAUUGCAGGAUUCAGUGAAUCAUCGAAUCUUUGAACGCAUAUUGCGCUCUUUGGUAUUCCGAAGAGCAUGCUUGUUUGAGUAUCAGUAAACACCUCAAAGCUUUUGGAUUUUUUAAUCGAAAAGCUUUGGACUUGAGCAAUCCCAACACCAAUCUUUUUGAGAUCGGUGGCGGGUUGCUUGAAAUGCAGGUGCAGCUGGACAUUCUCCUGAGCUAAAAGCAUAUUCAUUUAGUCCCGUCAAACGGAUUAUUACUUUUGCUGCAGCUAACAUAAAGGGAGUUUGACCGUAUUGGCUGACUGAUGCAGGAUUUCACAAGGGUCGGCAACGAUUCUUGUUAAACUCGAUCUCAAAUCAAGUAAGACUACCCGCUGAACUUAAGCAUAUCAAUAAGCGGAGGAAUCGGCAUCUUGGUCAUUUAGAGGAAGUAAAAGUCGUAACAAGGUCUCCGUUGGUGAACCAGCGGAGGGAUCAUUACUGGGUGGCUUCGGCCUAAACCCCCAACCAUUGUGAACGAUACCAGUUGCUUAGCUGGUGGCGGCGGACAGCUGCCCUGGCGGCAACGAGACUCUUCUAAUGUCAUCUCUGAGUUACUUUUAAAUAAGUCA
This 821-nucleotide unclassified non-coding RNA is filed under the name soil metagenome. Its description in RNAcentral is "partial contains internal transcribed spacer 1, 5.8S ribosomal RNA, and internal transcribed spacer 2". The stretch from base 147 to 300 matches the Rfam family "5.8S ribosomal RNA". The record is from RNAcentral.